This 250-nucleotide ribosomal RNA is filed under the name uncultured prokaryote. Its description in RNAcentral is "partial 16S ribosomal RNA". It matches the Rfam family "Bacterial small subunit ribosomal RNA", at positions 524 to 773 of the family's 1533-position model. The record is from RNAcentral.
UACGUAGGGGGCAAGCGUUAUCCGGAUUUACUGGGUGUAAAGGGAGCGCAGACGGCCGGCCAAGUCUGAAGUGAAACCCCGCAGCUCAACUGCGGGCUUGCUUUGGAAACUGGUCAGCUAGAGUGUCGGAGGGGUAAGCGGAAUUCCUAGUGUAGCGGUGAAAUGCGUAGAUAUUAGGAGGAACACCGGUGGCGAAGGCGGCUUACUGGACGACAACUGACGUUGAGGCUCGAAAGCGUGGGGAGCAAAC